AGCGAACGCUGGCGGCAGGCCUAACACAUGCAAGUCGAACGAACCUUUCGGGGUUAGUGGCGGACGGGUGAGUAACACGUGGGAACGUGCCUUUAGGUUCGGAAUAACUCAGGGAAACUUGUGCUAAUACCGAAUGUGCCCUUCGGGGGAAAGAUUAAUCGCCUUUAGAGCGGCCCGCGUCUGAUUAGCUAGUUGGUUGAGGUAAUGGCUCACCAAGGCGACGAUCAGUAGCUGGUCUGAGAGGAUGAUCAGCCACAUUGGGACUGAGACACGGCCCAAACUCCUACGGGAGGCAGCAGUGGGGAAUCUUAGACAAUGGGGGCAACCCUGAUCUAGCCAUGCCGCGUGAGUGAUGAAGGCCUUAGGGUUGUAAAGCUCUUUCAGCUGGGAAGAUAAUGACGGUACCAGCAGAAGAAGCCCCGGCUAACUCCGUG
This 434-nucleotide ribosomal RNA is filed under the name uncultured bacterium. RNAcentral describes it as "partial 16S ribosomal RNA". It matches the Rfam family "Bacterial small subunit ribosomal RNA", at positions 29 to 507 of the family's 1533-position model. The record is from RNAcentral.